CGAACUCUUCAUCUUGUGAACUGACAGGUUCUGGAUCCUGGAACAACAUGCUGAAACUGGGUAAUAAAUCUCCUAAUGGAAUAAGUGACUAUCCAAAGAUCAGAGUGACAGUUACCCGAGAUCAGCCACGCAGAGUCCUGCCUUCCUUUGGUUUUACUUUGAACUCAGAAGGCUAUAAUAGAAGACCAGGUGGCCGUCGCCAUAGCAAAGGUAAUCCAGAGAGUUCUUUAAUGUGGAAACCUCAGGAACAGGCUGUAACAGAGAUGAUUUCUGAAGAGAGUGGCAAGGGUCUGAGGCGUCCCCAUUGUACUGUGGAGGAGGGUGUUCAAAAAGAGGAAAGAGAGAAGUACCGAAAGUUAUUGGAACGACUUAAAGAAAGUGGUCAUGGAAACUCUGUCUGUCCUGUAACUUCAAAUUAUCACAGUUCUCAAAGAAGUCAGAUGGACACAUUAAAGACCAAAGGCUGGGGGGAAGAGCAAAAUCACGGAGUCAAAACAACUCAGUUUGUUCCAAAACAAUAUAGACUUGUUGAAACAAGGGGACCUCUAUGUUCAUUGAGAAGUGAAAAGAGGUGUUCAAAGGGGAAAAUUACUGAUACAGAGAAGAUGGUCGGAAUCAGAUUUGAAAAUGAAAGUGUAAGUAAAAAUCCUAGUUACAUUUGAUAUCUGUUUACUUAUGUAACUUAUGUUUUGGUGCCCAUGAAAAGCAAGAAAAAGUAUAUAUAUAUAACUUUGAUUG
This 738-nucleotide small RNA is filed under the name Pan troglodytes (chimpanzee). RNAcentral describes it as "retained intron". The record is from RNAcentral. Lineage: Eukaryota; Metazoa; Chordata; Mammalia; Primates; Hominidae.